ACCGAAUAGAUACCCGGGUAGUCCACGCCCUAAACGAUGCGAACUGGAUGUUGGGUACAUUACGGUACUCAGUGUCGAAAGCUAAACGCGUUAAGUUCGCCGCCUGGGGAGUACGGUCGCAAGACUGAAACUCAAAGGAAUUGACGGGGCCCGGCACAAGCGGUGGAGUAUGUGGUUUAAUUACGAUGCAGCGCGAAGAACCUUACCUGGCCUUGACAUCUGUCGAAUCCUGCAGAGAUGCGGGAGUGCCGCAAGGAACGACAAGACAGGUGCUGCAUGGCUGUCGUCAGCUCGUGUCGUGAGAUGUUGGGUUAAAGUCCCGCAACGAGCGCAACCCUUGUCCCUAGUUGCCAACACGUAAUGGUGGGAACUCUAGGGAGACUGCCGGUGAC
This 392-nucleotide ribosomal RNA is filed under the name uncultured bacterium. RNAcentral describes it as "bacterial SSU rRNA". It matches the Rfam family "Bacterial small subunit ribosomal RNA", at positions 772 to 1159 of the family's 1533-position model. The record is from RNAcentral.